This 497-nucleotide ribosomal RNA is filed under the name uncultured bacterium. RNAcentral's name for it is "partial 16S ribosomal RNA". It matches the Rfam family "Bacterial small subunit ribosomal RNA", at positions 28 to 507 of the family's 1533-position model. The record is from RNAcentral.
GAUGAACGCUGGCGGCGUGCCUAAUACAUGCAAGUCGAGCGAACGGACGAGAAGCUUGCUCCUCUGACGUUAGCGGCGGACGGGUGAGUAACACGUAGGUAACCUACCUAUAAGACUGGGAUAACUUCGGGAAACCGGAGCUAAUACCGGAUAAUAUUUUGAACCGCAUGGUUCAAUAGUGAAAGAUGGUUUUGCUGUCACUUAUAGAUGGAUCUGCGCUGCAUUAGCUAGUUGGUAAGGUAACGGCUUACCAAGGCAACGAUGCGUAGCCGACCUGAGAGGGUGAUCGGCCACACUGGAACUGAGACACGGUCCAGACUCCUACGGGAGGCAGCAGUAGGGAAUCUUCCGCAAUGGGCGAAAGCCUGACGGAGCAACGCCGCGUGAGUGAUGAAGGUCUUCGGAUCGUAAAACUCUGUUAUUAGGGAAGAACAUAUGUGUAAGUAACUGUGCACGUCUUGACGGUACCUAAUCAGAAAGCCACGGCUAACUACGUG